GUUGAACGCUGGCGGCAUGCCUUACACAUGCAAGUCGAACGGUAACAGGUCUUCGGAUGCUGACGAGUGGCGAACGGGUGAGUAAUACAUCGGAACGUGCCCAGUCGUGGGGGAUAACGCAGCGAAAGCUGUGCUAAUACCGCAUACGAUCUACGGAUGAAAGCGGGGGAUCGCAAGACCUCGCGCGAUUGGAGCGGCCGAUGGCAGAUUAGGUAGUUGGUGAGGCAAAGGCUCACCAAGCCUGCGAUCUGUAGCUGGUCUGAGAGGACGACCAGCCACACUGGAACUGAGACACGGUCCAGACUCCUACGGGAGGCAGCAGUGGGGAAUUUUGGACAAUGGGCGCAAGCCUGAUCCAGCAAUGCCGCGUGCAGGAUGAAGGCCUUCGGGUUGUAAACUGCUUUUGUACGGAACAAAAAAGCUUCUUCUAAUACAGGAGGCUCAUGACGGUACCGUAAGAAUAAGCACCGGCUAACUACGUGCCAGCCGCCGCAGUAA
Molecule: ribosomal RNA, 498 nt
Filed under: uncultured bacterium
Lineage: Bacteria
Description: partial 16S ribosomal RNA
Rfam family: Bacterial small subunit ribosomal RNA
Source: RNAcentral